ACGACCGACAACCCAUCGCACGAACCAGGGAGCGAAGCCCCCUCGCACAAACGAGGCUGCUCUCCCUCCGCAAACCCUAGCCGCCGCACAAGGGAAGAGACGAGGGACGGCAGGAUGCACGCUGCGCCGAGACGUGUCCGCCGCCGGCCUCUCCGCACCCCAUUCCCCACCUCCUCCAGUCCUCACCUACAGCUGCUCCUCCGCGACGGCAGCAGCCCUCCAGGUGCCGCCGGCCCAAGCACGCCGCCUGCUUUGCAUGCGCCGCCGCCAGCCCACGCACACCGGUCAAGGCCUUGCCCCAGGCCACGGUUGGGCGCCGUGAUCACUCAUCUCCUCUCUGUGGCACCAUCUCUCUCAGAUCCAGGCUGCUCAACACUGUCGAGCCCCAACCAGAGCGCCCGUGCCUCACUGUCCUCGUGCGUCGUGACACUGUUUUCACCCCGUAGCCUAGGCUACGCGGGCUGACAGCCGUCGCCGCCAUCCUCACUAUCAUGUGUUGUGGCGUCCGUGUUGUUUUUAGAGCUUGAAGCAAGCAGAACAUUGAAUAUAUCUUUAGGGCGGAAGAUAUAUUCAAAGUCGUCUCUUGUACUAAUGUUCAGGGCAAUGGGCGCUUGAUAUUUUAGGGCGGAAGGCUGAAGCAAAGAAAGCGGCGACUCUUUAGUAUAUUUUUAGAUUUGCGGCUCUUUGAGCUAUGCUACAUUUGAUUCGAGACCCGGAUGAGGUCGGUUAAAUUAGGAUUAAAGUCUGCACAAUAACUAGGAAUAGCGAACAAGCAAGGCUAUUCAGAUGAAGUCUGCACUUAAUACUAUAGGUUUCCUUUUGGGCUCCUGUACAGCUUCGCUAGCAUCAUAAAUUAAUUGUGGGAUAUAAUGCACAGUAGUAGCUUCUUCUGUUUAUUGUGGAAAUCUUCUUAGUUUAUAGGUUUCCUUUUCAUCUCUUGUACUAAUGUGUAGGUAUGACAUGGUGCUUUUUUUAAUCUCUUGCGGAUGUCAAUAUUUUUUCUACAGUUACAUAUAUACAACUAAAUCAUAAAGGAUUUUAUUUUUGAUUAGGUACACCAUAGAAUAGUCUCACAUGUUGGUUUAUUUAUUACCCUGUUUAAAUAUCAACCAACAUGCUUGUCAAAAUUAUAAUUUGUUAUCUGCUUGCCUCAAGGCAAUAUUCUCCCAAGAUAUCUCUGUGUGUGUGUGUGUGUGCUUGGACAGAAACACUCCCAUACCCGAGGUCUCAGUUAAUGUACUGCUAUUGAAUUCUUCUGUCACUUUUGAUACAAAGCUAUAGCUAUACUUUCAUUUGCCAAGAAGAUAAAAUAGGUUAAAUACUGUGAUUUAGUUACUUUCAGAUUUUGGUAUCUUUUGAGAAGUGCUCCACAAAUAUGAACGAAAGGAGCUUGUAUUUGAGGUAAUAGUCUAGGAAGUUUUAUUUAAGAUAUCAUCCGUGUCAACGAAAAAUAGUCCGGCCCAACCAAUGGAUGGAUGGGGAUGAAACUCUAGACCAACACCCACCCAUGGAUGGAUGGGGAUGGGGCGACGACGGCAGAGGCGGCGGCCUUCUCUCGGUGCUUGCUGAUGUGGUGGACAUCGACGCCGGUGAAGGGUUGCAGCACGUAGACAUCAAAGGCUGCGGGUGUGACGGAGGAGCACCAUGGCGGGCGUGCAGGCCAUGGCUCGCUAUGGAAGGCCCUUCCCUUCCCUCUCUCUAUUCGGGCCAUGCUCAGGCAGUCUUUUCUCUUCUCUUCCCACAAAAAAGUCUUUUCUCUUCACGAUCUGAACAUGUUGGAGGCCAUUAUUUCUCCUCUGCCAUAGUUUGCUGCUGCUGCCAUGUUAACUGAGAGUUGGUAGCCAAUAUCAAGUGAUUUGGAAUUUUUGUUGAUUUGAACCGUAAAUGUGAUGAUUUAUCACAAUUGUCAUAUGAUCACAAUUUCUCCUCUGCCAUUAUUCGUGCCUUUGUUAAUACUUGCUUACUUCUGAAACCAGGUAUCUGAAUUUGAGGUGAUCGUUUUCUUGCUUACUUCUGAAUCCCGGUAUCUGAUUUUGAGAAGGAGUUGUGCAAGAUGUCAACAUUAUUGCGAAGAUGAAAAACUUCUACCGAAGGCUAAAAGUUUUAUAGUUUGGGGAUUCACCGGAUGGCUUCCAUGAAACAUCAUCUUUUCUUGAGAGCAUGGAGUGGCGACGGUUAUAGCAGGAGCAGGGCAGCCACAGCUUCUCCUUAUUACAAAAACUUUCAGAAACGAAGGGAAGAUAGCCUAUAAAGCGAGGACAAAAUAUGUCUGGUCAGGGACUACCAAAAAUUAAAUACGUGCCAUCUACUUCGAUUCUGACUAUGAACCUGAGAUGCACUGCACGGAGGCUGAAUUUUACCAAAGUAACUCUGGCCCUUGCAACUGUAAGGUCUGUUCUUCCUCUACAAUCCUCUAGGUUCCUAUUUUCAAUGUUAUUCAAUGAUGUAUGAACAUUGCUCGGAUUGUUGGAUUCUUUGAUGUUAUUUGUUGGAUUCAAUGAUGCAUGAACAGAGCUGAAACACAACACUUCCCAAUUUCGACUGAACAACACAACACCAGAUUGCAGUGUUCUUAAAGCCAAUAGCUUUCUUCAUGCAAAGAACAAAGGGUUCAUAAUGAUGCAGUGAUGAAAAAAAUAAUCUGAGUACAUAUUGACCUUCUCACUGAUCAUGGAAAGAGGUAACCAAGGUUUUUGAUUGGCCACACAUUAGUAUUAUGGUAGUUUUGACAAACAUGGUGAGAGUAAGUUAUGCAGACAUCAUGCUUCUUAGGUUCAAUUAUAUUGUUGUAUGUUUUGUGCUUAACAGUGCAAUUUUUAGCCUCCUUAGCCAAGCACCUUGGAAAGGAUGGAAAGGAUUCUGGUGGAAGGAUGAUGAGAAGCUGGGCAUGGCCAGUUGCACCAAAGCAUGAGAAGGCUGUGAGAGAGGUGGUGGAGAUGGUGAAGAUAUCUUGUCCGAUGGAAGAACAAGGUAACCAGAUCAGAUGUACCAUAGGCUUUAUUUCCUCACAACGACCAUUUAUGCAAUUUUCUAUUGACAUAUACCAUUGGGGAAAGGAAAUCUUCACAUGAAUUUUUACAAUACCUUCUGUUAUGUUGUAAACGUGUUGGUAGUACCAUGUAUCAUCUGGCAUUUAAAGAAUAAUUAAUUGUAAUGUGGCAUUAUCUGUCACUAGA
This is a non-coding RNA of Triticum urartu, 3176 nucleotides long. NCBI's taxonomy places the organism in Eukaryota, Viridiplantae, Streptophyta, Magnoliopsida, Poales, Poaceae. The record is from RefSeq and is a predicted model, not a curated record.